AACACAUGCAAGUCGAACGGUGAAGGGGCCUGCUUUUGUGGGUCCUGGAUGAGUGGCGAACGGGUGAGUAACACGUGAGUAACCUGCCCCCUUCUUCUGGAUAACCGCAUGAAAGUGUGGCUAAUACGGGAUAUUCUGGGUCUGUACGCAUGGUGGGCCUGGGAAAGAUUGCGCCUUUUUUGGUGUUUUUGGUGGGGGAUGGGCUCGCGGCCUAUCAGCUUGUUGGUGGGGUGAUGGCCUACCAAGGCGUUGACGGGUAGCCGGCCUGAGAGGGUGGACGGUCACACUGGGACUGAGACACGGCCCAGACUCCUACGGGAGGCAGCAGUGGGGGAAAUUAUUGCCACAAAUGGGGCGCAAAGCU
This 364-nucleotide ribosomal RNA is filed under the name Actinomyces naeslundii. RNAcentral's name for it is "bacterial SSU rRNA". It matches the Rfam family "Bacterial small subunit ribosomal RNA", at positions 50 to 392 of the family's 1533-position model. Lineage: Bacteria; Bacillati; Actinomycetota; Actinomycetes; Actinomycetales; Actinomycetaceae. The record is from RNAcentral.